Sorex araneus (European shrew) is the source of this 1315-nucleotide long non-coding RNA. RefSeq lists it as uncharacterized. The record is from RefSeq and is a predicted model, not a curated record. The transcript has 3 exons. NCBI's taxonomy places the organism in Eukaryota, Metazoa, Chordata, Mammalia, Eulipotyphla, Soricidae.
CGCGCCCGUGCUCGGUGGAAGGAGUCUCCCGGGAGCAGGUUCCUCUCCCUCUGCAGGGUCAUGCUGCCGCUUCAAAGUCGGGCGUUUCACCCGAUGAGAGAGUCUGUGCAGUAAUUUCCACUCUCUGACUUUGCUUCGCAUAAUCACGUCCAGCUCCAUCCGUGCUGUAGCAAGAGCAAGAUUUCAUCCUUCUGAAAAAAAUCCAUUUGCAGAAGGCCAUGGAUUUUGACACUCAUCAAGCUGGACUUCUACCAAAUGGGCCCCGUGGUCCUCAAACUCUUACUUGUUCACGCUUUGGAAUUUUAAAUCGGAUUUGUUUCAUUGAGCACCGAGGUGAAUGAUAUCAUUUUAACAGAAUUCUCUGAAAAGUAUAAUUGUGUCUGAGUUAAACUGGGAAAGUUGUCUGUAUUGACUGAAAGAAGAAACUUGGAAAAGGCUAAAGUUUGGAAAGCCUUCUGAAUAAUUAAGGAGAAUGACUGCUAAGCCAAGCACCAUAUUCUUAGUUGCACAGUCUAUAGAAAUCGAGAGAGGAAAACAGAUGGGAGUGGAGGUAUAGACUCAAUAUCACUGGGAAUGUCAGAUCAGAAAUUAUUUUGGGACGUGCGGAAGGAGCUUUGUGUGGGAGGAGCACCCGAUGCGGAGCACUCCUGGGAGGUAGGAGACAAAGAAAGCAGAACCGCGUUUGGGGCGGGGAAGCAGGCUUCUGGGGAGGAACUGAUCUUUCUCGAAGCACCGCUCAGACACAUUCGCAAGCCGGAUCGCUCUCGAAGCUUGAGUUUGGGUGGAAAGCCAGACGACGCCUCGCUGCUUCCGCGUGACCUGCUUCCCCUCCCGCGGCUUUGGUGUCCUCGAGGGCUCCCGUUGGUCCAGAUGUCACUCUCCUGGAUUUGUAGCUUCCAGAGGUCACAGAGGCUCUGGGACAGCUCGCGGGGAAGGCGGGAUAAUGGGAGGCUUCCGGCCUGCGCAGCCGUGGGGGGAGCCGGGCCCUGCGUGUGUGUGGUCUGACGGGACGGAGGCGGGCAGGUGAGCGAGGGGCACACACCGCAGGCCGGGGCUUCGGCAUAAAGCCCACGUGGCUCGCAGAGAGGUGCAGAGACCCCAGAAACCCGGGUGGGAGCGGGCGGGAGUGAGCGGCACUGGGGGUCCUGCGGUCAGAGGCCCGUGGUUGCCGGGCUGUUCUCUGAGGGGGGAUGAGCGUCAACUUGUUCGGGAACCGUGGCCGGGCCUGUUUGCUGUGAAGUAUUGUCUGGCCUCUUUGUCAGCCGUUUCCCCACCCCGCUCAAUUGUCGGUAUUGCAAUAAAGAAGCAUGAAUCU